CGCUGUGGCCGGUGGGCCAUUCGCAUCGUGUUAGCGGGGUACACGCCUCGUGACGCUGUUAAAGUGCAGGAAUCGUUGGGGGAUUACCUCCAUCAAUCUGCAGCCAACUGUUCGGUUGGUCUAACGACUAAAUAACACCGGCCGGGUUCGCCCCGGUCAAGAUAUAGUCUCAACGAGUGGAGCCAUCCACCCGAGCGAUGCAUUAAAUCAGUUAUCGUUUAUUUGAUAGUACCUUUCUACUUGGAUACCUGUGGUAAUUCUAGAGCUAAUACAUGCUAAAAACCUCGACUUCGGAAGGGGUGUAUUUAUUAGAUAAAAAACCAAUGCCCUUCGGGGCUCCUUGGUGAUUCAUAAUAACUUAACGAAUCGCAUGGCCUUGCGCCGGCGAUGGUUCAUUCAAAUUUCUGCCCUAUCAACUUUCGAUGGUAGGAUAGUGGCCUACCAUGGUUUCUACGGGAAAAAUCCGUUGCCCGUGGGCACGACCGUUGGGGAGCCUCCGGGCUUUCUCGGCGACACCGCUGGCUCCGAAGAAGUCCUCAGGGUGCUUAUUCGGGGGCGUGCUCUGUCUUAGAGCCGCCCGAACGCAUGCAAAGCGGUGGGCUUCGUUUGGCUCGAGGCUUUCGGUACAUGCUACCGCCCGGCACCCGCCGGGGCUGGAGAAAUGAACGGGGAAUUAGGGGUUCUAUUCCGGAGAGGGAGCCUGAGAAACGGCUACCACAUCCAAGGAAGGCAGCAGGCGCGCAAAUUACCCAAUCCCGACACGGGGAGGUAGUGACAAUAAAUACUGAUACAGGGCUCUUUUGGGUCUUGUAAUUGGAAUGAGUA
This 825-nucleotide ribosomal RNA is filed under the name Cetraria sepincola. RNAcentral describes it as "partial 18S small subunit ribosomal RNA". The stretch from base 139 to 825 matches the Rfam family "Eukaryotic small subunit ribosomal RNA", at positions 1 to 520 of the family's 1831-position model. Lineage: Eukaryota; Fungi; Ascomycota; Lecanoromycetes; Lecanorales; Parmeliaceae. The record is from RNAcentral.